Molecule: ribosomal RNA, 478 nt
Filed under: uncultured bacterium
Lineage: Bacteria
Description: partial 16S ribosomal RNA
Rfam family: Bacterial small subunit ribosomal RNA
Source: RNAcentral
GAUGAACGCUGGCGGCGUGCCUAACACAUGCAAGUCGAACGGAGUCCAGCCUUUAAGACCUUCGGGUCAAAGAGGGGAAGACUGAGUGGCGGACGGGUGAGUAACACGUGGGCAACCUGGCUCAUAGAGGGGGAUAACAGAGAGAAAUUUCUGCUAAUACCGCAUAAGCACACACUGCCGCAUGGCAGAGGGUGAAAAGAGAAUCGCUAUGAGAUGGACCCGCGUCUGAUUAGCCAGUUGGCAGGGUAGGAGCCUACCAAAGCGACGAUCAGUAGCCGAUCUGAGAGGAUGAACGGCCACAUUGGGACUGAGACACGGCCCAAACUCCUACGGGAGGCAGCAGUGGGGGAUAUUGCACAAUGGGGGGAACCCUGAUGCAGCGACGCCGCGUGAGUGAAGAAGUAUUUCGGUAUGUAAAGCUCUAUCAGCAGGGAAGAUAAUGACAGUACCUGAAUAAGAAGCCCCGGCUAACUACGUG